Molecule: non-coding RNA, 1808 nt
Organism: Pelobates cultripes (western spadefoot toad)
Lineage: Eukaryota; Metazoa; Chordata; Amphibia; Anura; Pelobatidae
Source: the annotation of a GenBank genome assembly
CCUGGAACGUCAAGGGACUAUCGCAACCAACUAGAGACCUAUUAUGGGACUCAUGGGCACCAGGUAUUCAACGAAAUAACAUAUCCGCACGGAACACCUGGAGCCACUGGUGUAUGGGAAGGGACUGCGAUCCCUUUACUUUGGUGCGCAUUUGGUACGAGGCGGGGCCUCUAUAUCGGAUAUUUUACAUGCAGCGAAUAGGACACGGGAAGACACCUUCCAUAUAUUUAUUUUUCGUCAAACCACCCAUGCAUCCUUCUCGCUCAUACCACAGCGUUAAAAAUGCAAAAUAUGAAGCCUCCUGUCAUGUGAUAACAUUGUAGAUUAUGGGGGGGCGUGGCCUGGCUGUGGAGCUGAACAGUCGCACAUGCUAUGAGCUCCUGGGCCUGGGUCUGAAUAUCGGACGAAAUCGGGGGCAACUUGCUCAACCUUGAACCCCAACUCACCUUAAUCUGAUCCGCAGAAACUGGCGAACCGGGGGAUACCUCAGACGCCCAGCAUACCCGCCGGAAUGACCGAGCCGAGGCCUAUGCCAAGCAGAGCAGGGGAGAGACGGCCGCUCUCCCAGCUCAUAAACACAAGCAACGCCAGCAGCACACGGCUGCCCCCCCCCCCCUAGGACCGGUGGGGGUUAUCCUGGUCCAAACAUCCUGGAUCAACACACCUAUGUGGCCCUUAAAAGCAGAUACCAGCACCAACCAGGAAACAAGUAUGCAGGCAGCCCGCCACGCCAAUAUGGCGGACGCGCAAGCAUGUGGAGGAACAGAGCCGCCAAAACACAACCCCAGGACAAGCGACUCACUCACCACCCGCCUGAAUGAGCUCUUCCAAACCUUCUGGGCACGAAUCAAGGCUCAACAAGCAGCGGAGCAGCAACAGAGGCAAGAGAACUGGAGUAAGGGGGACAAUCAUGGCGGUGUUGACCGUAGUGGGCCUGGGCUACCCUUGGGCAAAGCCCUGACAAAGCAGCCUACACCUCACCAUGCUAGCCCAUCUGGGCUGCAGGCCACCAGGGGAACAACCCCGGCGCAUCAACCACACAGGCGGAGACCGGCCUGCAGAAAAAGAAAGCGGCGCAACACCGCCAUAAAGGCCUCCAGACCAGUCCCGAAAGGGAAGGAUCCGACCCCCAGAGGUACCCGAAUCCGUGGCUACAAGAUGUCGGCCAUGCUACAUGCCCAGAGCUGGAGGGCGCAUCGGGUUAACUCCCGGCCGACCGCCUACCAACGUGAACCCCCAAUGCUGCAGACACUGUUCCCACCUGAAGGAAUGGGGUGACAAUCCAGCAAGCUCCCCCCUACACUCACUAAUGAACACUGCCCAGACACCCAUGAACACUGACUCUGCAUACCUGGAUUUCUCACACGAUUAUAUCUGUGACUAUGUCUCUGCUAUCUCACUCUCUCACACAAUACCACAGAGGUACAUUUACCAUUGAUUACUUAUCGUAGAUAGCCAUGUUACACACUUACCUACUCAACCUACACACACGCAUGUUUAUCUAUGUCUGUAACUUAAUCUCUUCUCUCUGUGACACAAAGGAUGUUUAAGUCUGCUUUUGAAAUACUAUUAUAGCCAUGUUACACACUUACCUACUCAAACCUACACACACAUAAUCUCUUCUCUCUGUGACACAAUGGAUGUUUAAGCCUGCUUUUGAAAUAAUAUUAUGCAAAGCUUCCAUGUCACGGUCUCAUAUGAAUGUCACUGUACAUGACUAUGGCUAAGCCUGUUCAUAAUAUAAAAAUGUGCAUACUGUUCAUCUGUCCCGCAUGUUAAGCGAGGAAAGCUUGGGGACUGCCGUUGGG